GCGGGUAUGGUAUAGUGGUUGUGCCCUAGCCUUCCAAGCUAGAGAGACGAGUUCGAUCCUCGUUACCCGCU
RNAcentral lists this transfer RNA (71 nucleotides) under Xanthomonas phage X1. RNAcentral's name for it is "tRNA-Gly". It matches the Rfam family "tRNA". From Rfam's summary of the family: Transfer RNA (tRNA) molecules are approximately 80 nucleotides in length. Their secondary structure includes four short double-helical elements and three loops (D, anti-codon, and T loops). Lineage: Duplodnaviria; Heunggongvirae; Uroviricota; Caudoviricetes. The record is from RNAcentral. RNAcentral also lists the same sequence under 1 other name.